RNAcentral lists this ribosomal RNA (1343 nucleotides) under uncultured bacterium. RNAcentral's name for it is "16S ribosomal RNA". It matches the Rfam family "Bacterial small subunit ribosomal RNA", at positions 28 to 1378 of the family's 1533-position model. The record is from RNAcentral.
GACGAACGUUGGCGGCGUGCUUAACACAUGCAAGUCGAACGGAAAGGCCCUGCUUUUGUGGGGUGCUCGAGUGGCGAACGGGUGAGUAACACGUGAGUAACCUGCCCUUGACUUUGGGAUAACUUCAGGAAACUGGGGCUAAUACCGGAUAGGAGCUCCUGCUGCAUGGUGGGGGUUGGAGAGUUUCGGCGGUUGGGGAUGGACUCGCGGCUUAUCAGCUUGUUGGUGGGGUAGUGGCUUACCAAGGCUUUGACGGGUAGCCGGCCUGAGAGGGUGACCGGCCACAUUGGGACUGAGAUACGGCCCAGACUCCUACGGGAGGCAGCAGUGGGGAAUAUUGCACAAUGGGCGGAAGCCUGAUGCAGCAACGCCGCGUGCGGGAUGACGGCCUUCGGGUUGUAAACCGCUUUCGCCUGUGACGAAGCGUGAGUGACGGUAAUGGGUAAAGAAGCACCGGCUAACUACGUGCCAGCAGCCGCGGUGAUACGUAGGGUGCGAGCGUUGUCCGGAUUUAUUGGGCGUAAAGGGCUCGUAGGUGGUUGAUCGCGUCGGAAGUGUAAUCUUGGGGCUUAACCCUGAGCGUGCUUUCGAUACGGGUUGACUUGAGGAAGGUAGGGGAGAAUGGAAUUCCUGGUGGAGCGGUGGAAUGCGCAGAUAUCAGGAGGAACACCAGUGGCGAAGGCGGUUCUCUGGGCCUUUCCUGACGCUGAGGAGCGAAAGCGUGGGGAGCGAACAGGCUUAGAUACCCUAGUAGUCCACGCUGUAAACGGUGGGUACUUGGUGUGGGGUCCAUUCCACGGGUUCCGUGCCGUAGCUAACGCUUUAAGUACCCCGCCUGGGGAGUACGGCCGCAAGGCUAAAACUCAAAGGAAUUGACGGGGCCCCGCACAAGCGGUGGAGCAUGCGGAUUAGUUCGAUGCAACGCGUAGAACCUUACCUGGGUUUGACAUGGAUCGGGAGUGCUCAGAGAUGGGUGUGCCUCUUUUGGGGUCGGUUCACAGGUGGUGCAUGGCUGUCGUCAGCUCGUGUCGUGAGAUGUUGGGUUAAGUCCCGCAACGAGCGCAACCCUUGUUCACUGUUGCCAGCACGUUAUGGUGGGGACUCAGUGGAGACCGCCGGGGUCAACUCGGAGGAAGGUGGGGAUGACGUCAAGUCAUCAUGCCCCUUAUGUCCAGGGCUUCACGCAUGCUACAAUGGCUGGUACAGAGAGUGGCGAGCCUGUGAGGGUGAGCGAAUCUCGGAAAGCCGGUCUCAGUUCGGAUUGGGGUCUGCAACUCGACCUCAUGAAGUCGGAGUCGCUAGUAAUCGCAAAUCAGCAACGCUGCGGUGAAUACGUUCCCGGG